GAUGAACGCUGGCGGCGUGCCUAAUACAUGCAAGUCGAGCGAACAGGCGAGGAGCUUGCUCCUCUGACGUUAGCGGCGGACGGGUGAGUAACACGUGGAUCACCUACCUAUAAGACUGGGAUAACUUCGGGAAACCGGAGCUAACACCGGAUAAUAUAUUGAACCGCAUGGUUCAAUAGUGAAAGACGGUGUUGCUGUCACUUAUAGAUGGUUACGCGCCGCAUUAGCUAGUUGGUAAGGUAACGGCUUACCAAGGCAACGAUGCGUAGCCGAGCUGAGAGGGUGAUAGGCCACACUGGAACGGAGACACGGUCCAGACGCCUACGGGAGGCAGCAGUAGGGAAUCUUCCGCAAUGGGCGGAAGCAUGACGGAGCAACGGCGCGUGAGUGAUGAAGGUCUUCGGAUCGUAAAGCUCGGUUAUUAGGGAAGAACAGAUGUGUAAGGAAAUAUGCACGUAUUGACGGUACCUAAUCAGAAAGCAACGGCUAACUACGUG
Molecule: ribosomal RNA, 497 nt
Filed under: uncultured bacterium
Lineage: Bacteria
Description: partial 16S ribosomal RNA
Rfam family: Bacterial small subunit ribosomal RNA
Source: RNAcentral